UAUAGCAAAGGCAGAAAAGAAGGCCACAGAGGUUAUCAAGGCUAGAAGGUCUAGGGAGGCUAAGUCAGGGGUGAAAAAACUAAGCCGCCAAGUAGUUGGUAUGUUGGCACUGCCUCAAACUCUAACUCAAACAACCAGUUACAGUGUCCUGCCAGCUAUCAAGAAGGGCACUAAAGUUACCCUCCAGUCCUCCAGCUCCCUCUCCCUCUCCGAUGACAACAAGGAGGCACUAGGGGCCGUCUGCCAGGUCCUGACCACCAGGGUGGGAGACAUCCUGAACAGUACCUGCAACAACGAUUACAAGGCCAGACUCAUCAUCC
Molecule: long non-coding RNA, 320 nt
Organism: Oncorhynchus masou masou (cherry salmon)
Lineage: Eukaryota; Metazoa; Chordata; Actinopteri; Salmoniformes; Salmonidae
Exons: 3
Source: RefSeq, a predicted model, not a curated record